This 257-nucleotide ribosomal RNA is filed under the name uncultured bacterium. RNAcentral's name for it is "partial 16S ribosomal RNA". It matches the Rfam family "Bacterial small subunit ribosomal RNA", at positions 57 to 305 of the family's 1533-position model. The record is from RNAcentral.
GCAAGUCGAGGGGUAACAGAUGAAGAGCUUGCUCAGAUUGCUGACGACCGGCGCACGGGUGAGUAACACGUAUGCAACCUACCUUUUACAGAGGGAUAGCCCAGAGAAAUUUGGAUUAAUACCUCAUAGUAUUUUUGAAUCGCAUGAUUUAGAGAUUAAAACUCCGGUGGUAAAAGAUGGGCAUGCGUUCUAUUAGUUAGUUGGUAAGGUAACGGCUUACCAAGACAUCGAUAGAUAGGGGUCCUGAGAGGGAGAUC